AGGCUUUUUUAGUUCAUAAGGGGAAUUGGGUUUUCACAAUUCUGUGUGAUAUGCCUCUUUGAAAUCUUGUUACCUUGUCAGCAUUUUAUUCAUCUGACA
Molecule: small nucleolar RNA, 99 nt
Organism: Nycticebus coucang (slow loris)
Lineage: Eukaryota; Metazoa; Chordata; Mammalia; Primates; Lorisidae
Product: small nucleolar RNA U13
Exons: 1
Source: RefSeq, a predicted model, not a curated record